GAGUUUGAUCAUGGCCAGGAUGAACGCUAGCGGCAGGCUUAACACAUGCAAGUCGAGGGGUAGUUAUCUUCGGAUAAUGAGACCGGCGCACGGGUGCGUAACGCGUAUGCAAUCUACCUUGUACAGGGGGAUAGCCCAGAGAAAUUUGGAUUAAUACCCCAUGGUAUAAUUGAAUGGCAUCAUUUGAUUAUUAAAGUUCCAACGGUACAAGAUGAGCAUGCGUCCCAUUAGCUAGUUGGUGUGGUAACGGCACACCAAGGCAACGAUGGGUAGGGGUCCUGAGAGGGAGAUCCCCCACACUGGUACUGAGACACGGACCAGACUCCUACGGGAGGCAGCAGUGAGGAAUAUUGGUCAAUGGGCGCAAGCCUGAACCAGCCAUGCCGCGUGCAGGAUGACGGUCCUAUGGAUUGUAAACUGCUUUUGUACAGGAAGAAACACUCGGAGGUGUCCGAGCUUGACGGUACUGUAAGAAUAAGGAUCGGCUGACUCCGUGCCAGCAGCGCGGUAC
RNAcentral lists this ribosomal RNA (511 nucleotides) under uncultured Flavobacteriaceae bacterium. RNAcentral's name for it is "bacterial SSU rRNA". It matches the Rfam family "Bacterial small subunit ribosomal RNA", at positions 9 to 523 of the family's 1533-position model. Lineage: Bacteria; Pseudomonadati; Bacteroidota; Flavobacteriia; Flavobacteriales; Flavobacteriaceae. The record is from RNAcentral.